Molecule: long non-coding RNA, 1068 nt
Filed under: Populus tremula
Lineage: Eukaryota; Viridiplantae; Streptophyta; Magnoliopsida; Malpighiales; Salicaceae
Description: long non-coding RNA (PTRE_LNC000108)
Source: RNAcentral
UAUUAUUUGAUUUCAAUUUCCACAAGUGCAUUCGCACACCAUACAUGACGCAGAUAAUAUAAAUUCUUCAGCGUUAAACAGCAGAAUCAUUUAUCGGAUAUCUAUUCCAACUCAAUCCAAUAGCGGGCAUAGAAAUUAAAUUAAAUUUAAAAUAAUUCAAAGAUUUAAAAUAAAUCUCAUCUCCCUAGCACAUACUAAAUAAAAUAAAAAAUCAAAUACUACCCUCAAAAACCACAAUCACAAGGGAAUAGCGUCGUUGUAAUUGUGUGUAGGUGAAGAUCUGAGAGGAGAUUAUAAUAGACUAGGCUAGACAGUCGAGAGAGAGAGAGAGAGUUAGAUGACCUGAAUCGGCGCUAAAAUAGCGAUUGAAGAGAGAAGUGGAGGGAGAUGGAUUGAUGAUUGAUCGAUUGAGGAGAAGGGAUUGAGUGGAUCGGGCGGAGGUGGUGGUGACUAGGGUUCUGAGGUGUGAAGAGGCCAGUCUUCUCCACAUUGUUUCUUGUGAAUGUGUUCUCGUUUUGAUGUGAGGUCACGCCCUGUUCGUAAUCUACUACGACUUCUCUUUCUGCUGCUGCUAUUUAUUUUUUAUUUUAUUAUCAGUAAGAAAGAAAGAAAGAAAAUGGAGGAACGGAAUGAAAUGAAAUGGGGGUGGCGAUGGGUUCCCGUAUGGGAACCGAGGCAGGCGUGUGUGAGCACUGUUGGAUUCCCUUCGCACGUGACACACUUUCCCCACGUGCGUAACUUGGUUUUUCCCUUCCUUCCUUUUUUUUUCUCCCACUUUUUUAUUUUUUAAAAUUAUAUAUAUAUAUAUAAAAAACGUAAACCCACAGUUCCUCAAACGUUUUAUCCGAACGGCGCAGGGUCUCUUCAGCUUGGCAGCCGAGUGAGUUGCGCAGCCUUGGGUCAUGCGAGAUGUUGCUCCGCUGGCUUGGUUCGGAAUUUGGUUUGGCUUCAUUUGGGUUUGGAUUGUCGAGUGUUGCAGGGUUGGCGUAAUAUUUGUUCUGCUUCGCGCGCCUGGUUGAGUGGCUGGAGCAUUUGCUUUCAUUUUGUGGCAAGAGGGUGUCGCUUGGC